CAGCAGCCGCGGGAAUACGUAGGUCCCGAGCGUUGUCCGGAUUUAUUGGGCGUAAAGCGAGCGCAGGCGGUUAGAUAAGUCUGAAGUUAAAGGCUGUGGCUUAACCAUAGUACGCUUUGGAAACUGUUUAACUUGAGUGCAAGAGGGGAGAGUGGAAUUCCAUGUGUAGCGGUGAAGUGCGUAGAUAUAUGGAGGAACACCGGUGGCGAAAGCGGCUCUCUGGCUUGUAACUGACGCUGAGGCUCGAAAGCGUGGGGCGCAAACAGGAUUAGAGACCCGAGUAGUCCCUGUCUCUUAUACA
Molecule: ribosomal RNA, 301 nt
Filed under: uncultured bacterium
Lineage: Bacteria
Description: partial 16S ribosomal RNA
Rfam family: Bacterial small subunit ribosomal RNA
Source: RNAcentral